CCCCUGCUGUUCCUCCCUGAGCAGGCGUCUACCGUGACAGCGGAAGACGGUUUGAACCCCAGCCGGAUGGCUGGGGUUUCUUUU
Molecule: non-coding RNA, 84 nt
Filed under: Pelomonas sp. Root1444
Lineage: Bacteria; Pseudomonadati; Pseudomonadota; Betaproteobacteria; Burkholderiales; Sphaerotilaceae
Description: Burkholderia RNA 7 (anti-hemB)
Rfam family: Burkholderia RNA 7 (anti-hemB)
About the family: This RNA motif was identified by computational search in b-proteobacteria Burkholderia.
Source: Rfam by way of RNAcentral